ACUCCUACGGGAGGCAGCAGUGGGGAAUAUUGCACAAUGGGCGCAAGCCUGAUGCAGCCAUGCCGCGUGUGUGAAGAAGGCCUUCGGGUUGUAAAGCACUUUCAGUUGUGAGGAAGGUGGUGUCGUUAAUAGCGGCAUCAUUUGACGUUAGCAACAGAAGAAGCACCGGCUAACUCCGUGCCAGCAGCCGCGGUAAUACGGAGGGUGCGAGCGUUAAUCGGAAUUACUGGGCGUAAAGCGCAUGCAGGUGGUUUGUUAAGUCAGAUGUGAAAGCCCGGGGCUCAACCUCGGAACUGCAUUUGAAACUGGCAGACUAGAGGUACUGUAGAGGGGGGUAGAAUUUCAGGUGUAGCGGUGAAAUGCGUAGAGAUCUGAAGGAAUAACCGGUGGCGAAGGCGGCCCCCUGGACAAAGACUAGACGCUCAGAUGCGAAAGCGUAGGGGAGCAAACAGGAUUAGAUA
RNAcentral lists this ribosomal RNA (461 nucleotides) under uncultured bacterium. Its description in RNAcentral is "bacterial SSU rRNA". It matches the Rfam family "Bacterial small subunit ribosomal RNA", at positions 335 to 784 of the family's 1533-position model. The record is from RNAcentral.